UACGUAGGCAGCGAGCGUUGUUCGGAGUUACUGGGCGUAAAGAGUGCGUAGGCGGUUUUCUAAGUUUGGUGUGAAAUCUCCCGGCUUAACUGGGAGGGUGCGCCGAAAACUGGAAGGCUUGAGUAUGGGAGAGGUAAGCGGAAUUCCUGGUGUAGCGGUGAAAUGCGCAGAUAUCAGGAGGAACACCAAUUGCGAAGGCAGCUCGCUGGGACGUUACUGACGCUGAGACGCGAAAGCGUGGGGAGCAAACAGG
This 253-nucleotide ribosomal RNA is filed under the name uncultured bacterium. RNAcentral describes it as "partial 16S ribosomal RNA". It matches the Rfam family "Bacterial small subunit ribosomal RNA", at positions 524 to 776 of the family's 1533-position model. The record is from RNAcentral.